CCUACGGGAGGCAGCAGUGGGGAAUAUUGGACAAUGGGGGGAACCCUGAUCCAGCCAUGCCGCGUGUGUGAAGAAGGCCCUCGGGUUGUAAAGCACUUUCAGUGAGGAAGAACGCCUGGUGGUUAAUACCCAUCAGGAAAGACAUCACUCACAGAAGAAGCACCGGCUAACUCCGUGCCAGCAGCCGCGGUAAUACGGAGGGUGCGAGCGUUAAUCGGAAUUACUGGGCGUAAAGCGCGCGUAGGUGGCUUGAUAAGCCGGUUGUGAAAGCCCGGGGCUCAACCUGGGAACGGCAUCCGGAACUGUCAAGCUAGAGUGCAGGAGAGGAAGGUAGAAUUCCCGGUGUAGCGGUGAAAUGCGUAGAGAUCGGGAGGAAUACCAGUGGCGAAGGCGGCCUUCUGGACUGACACUGACACUGAGGUGCGAAAGCGUGGGUAGCAAACAGGAUUAGAUACCCGAGUAGUC
RNAcentral lists this ribosomal RNA (465 nucleotides) under Vreelandella stevensii. RNAcentral's name for it is "partial 16S ribosomal RNA". It matches the Rfam family "Bacterial small subunit ribosomal RNA", at positions 338 to 795 of the family's 1533-position model. The record is from RNAcentral. Lineage: Bacteria; Pseudomonadati; Pseudomonadota; Gammaproteobacteria; Oceanospirillales; Halomonadaceae.